GUGGGGAAUAUUGGACAAUGGGCGAAAGCCUGAUCCAGCCAUGCCGCGUGUGUGAAGAAGGUCUUCGGAUUGUAAAGCACUUUAAGUUGGGAGGAAGGGCAGUAAGUUAAUACCUUGCUGUUUUGACGUUACCAACAGAAUAAGCACCGGCUAACUUCGUGCCAGCAGCCGCGGUAAUACGAAGGGUGCAAGCGUUAAUCGGAAUUACUGGGCGUAAAGCGCGCGUAGGUGGUUCAGCAAGUUGAAGGUGAAAUCCCCGGGCUCAACCUGGGAACUGCCUCCAAAACUACUGAGCUAGAGUACGGUAGAGGGUAGUGGAAUUUCCUGUGUAGCGGUGAAAUGCGUAGAUAUAGGAAGGAACACCAGUGGCGAAGGCGACUACCUGGACUGAUACUGACACUGAGGUGCGAAAGCGUGGGGAGCAAACAGGAUUAGAUACCCCGGUAGUCC
This 450-nucleotide ribosomal RNA is filed under the name uncultured bacterium. RNAcentral describes it as "bacterial SSU rRNA". It matches the Rfam family "Bacterial small subunit ribosomal RNA", at positions 354 to 796 of the family's 1533-position model. The record is from RNAcentral.